GAGAGAUGGGAGCUUCUAACCCGAAAGAGAGAGAGACGACCGGGAAGGGAAACCCGACCGGAACUAUCACCUCCGGCCACCGAUCAACGACGCAAGACCACUAUUCUCUUCCUCUCAUCGUCUUCGUCACGCCUGUGGCCUCAGAUCGUCCAUGCACGGACUGUGGAGAGGAUUCGAAGCUUGAAAGGUUUGAACUUUCCGGCGAUGUUUCUGCAAUUUUCGGCGAUCUUCGGGGCUGUGUGAGUUCGGGUAUCGACAGAACCGCCAUCCAUGGCGGCGAUUCCAGGCUUCUAGUUUCGUUUCUGGCGUCUUGGAAAACCAGUUGAGGUCCGGGGAAGCUUGGUUCCUUGAAUUGGCGUUCGGUGAUGCUUUGGUCCUUGCUGUACUUCAAACUGAAGGGAGAAAUUCAGUGGGCUCGACCCGACGUUUACUGAGCUCGGUAGCUGCACGUUUAGGCUUGCCCAAGUUGGUCUCUGUUAACGAUUCUUUAAUUCUCAAAGGACUCCAGUUACCCAAGGAACGGAAGGUUCGCGACUCUCGGAGUACGUGAGAGAAAGCAUUGGAAUCCAGGUAGGGGAUUCAGGACUCUCCUCGGUUAGCGAUUUUCUUAUAUUGUUAUUAAAUGAUGCACGUUAGUUGGUAUGGUUUGGUCAUGUUCAAAUGCAAUGCAUACUAACCAAACCAUGUGAGAAAUGUGAUGGCUUGAGAGCGAAGGGUGGCUCUGACUUCCUUGGGUUCGAUCCCCAAAACCUCAGGAGGGUUAGCUACACCGGUCGGACGGUGAGCGAUCACAAUGACGACCCGUUCCGUGUGUGUAGCUAGGUAGCGGACGCUCUCGCUACGCUUACCUGGUGAUAAAUUAAAUUGAGGUAAGGUCGUGUAGUGGGUCUAUGGGACCGGCCAUCAGGUAAUACUUGGAUUUGGCGCCGUAUUUAUUUAAGCAUCAUGCAUCAGUUUUCAAGUUGAAAAACAUUAAAGUUUGUCGUUCUUUUAAAAUAUUUGGUUUAAGCAUGUUUUCAUACUGGGAUCCCAAAUAUAUAUUUAGUGGUUUCAACCCUAGUCGUGGUAGAGUUCCUGUAAGAGCAGCGAGGACGAAAGCUCACCCCUACAACAGUGUGGAUGCAGGUACUGUGCACUGGUGACAGGACAAUAGUGGACGGAGCUGGGUGUGCGGAACAAGUUCGACAUCCAAGUCGUAGAGUGCUUGUUGAUCUGAUUAAGGCACCCAAUGUGCCGUUUGUAAUGGGCCCUGGAAUGGGCUUUUGUGUUGUCCCUUUUACAUGUCGACAAACAAGUUCGGUCGGGCCCGGGCUCAAAAAGUGAUCUGAACACCCAUUGCGAAGGGUUGAGUUUUCAUGUCGAGUCACUACUUUUAUUUUCGACGAAUCGAACUUUCGGGCUCAGAAUUUGCAGUAGACCUCCGUCAAUGAGCUUGCUUCCCUUUUUUUUUUGUUAGGAGGUCCAGUGACUCGUGUCACUUUCAGUGGACAUGCAAUAUUGGUGAAGAUUCUGAUCAUUUAAUUUGAACCGGAUAUGUGAGAUAGGCUUGCUUCCAAUUGUUUUCGAGGAGGCCCAAUAAAACCGGGAUGACCGAAGACGUACAUUUCAGUAUUUCACCAUGCUGGUCUUCACAUUGUACGUUUAUCUUGUUUACCAUUAGUUUAGUUUGUUUGCACCAGUAAUCUUGCAUUGCAUCACCGCUUCAAAAAGAGAUAUGCUGCACUCAAUUUUCAUGUAAUAGGCAAGCUUCUUUAAUUAAUGCAAACCUCAUGCUUAGGUGUAGGUUUUGUUUUCGCGUAGGUAUUCAACUACAGACCACAUUGUUUCUCAAA
Rosa rugosa (rugosa rose) is the source of this 1832-nucleotide long non-coding RNA. RefSeq lists it as uncharacterized. NCBI's taxonomy places the organism in Eukaryota, Viridiplantae, Streptophyta, Magnoliopsida, Rosales, Rosaceae. The record is from RefSeq and is a predicted model, not a curated record. The transcript is spliced from 4 exons.